Molecule: long non-coding RNA, 2587 nt
Organism: Daphnia pulex (common water flea)
Lineage: Eukaryota; Metazoa; Arthropoda; Branchiopoda; Diplostraca; Daphniidae
Exons: 8
Source: RefSeq, a predicted model, not a curated record
GGGCAGUCAAGGAAAUUGUGAAUUGUCUGUUUUAAGAAGAAGAAAAAAAAGUGGCGACCUGACACCUGAGUGCUGAGUCCGAGACUGAUGAGCACGUUGUGACUUUGAGUUCAGAGCUUUCAUGUAAAAGAGGCUUACCUUUUUAUUGAGUGUGGAAUGUGGUCGGGGAGAAGAACAGUUUCCAACAGUUAGUCAGAGCUAUGUACUAGCUAUAUAGAUUAUAGCUCUGAGUUAGUUAGGUUACUUAUAAUAUUAAGUCACCAGCCAAUCCUAUCUGGAAUUUUGCUAUAGAUGAGACUAGACUUUCAGACGGUCGUCAACGUUGAGAAAGAAGAAGAAUCUGAAUCCAAAGUAGAGCCAGAAGAACCAACUACUAACAGUAUACCAAAAGAACUUAUUCCACACGCUCCAAGACUAGCAUUAUUGUGGCUUAUCAUUGUUGACUUACGAAUAAUGGUUUUGCUGGUGGAGUCAUCAAUGAGGAAAGCAUGACGUAUGUUAACCAGUACACGAGCAAUCCACUUGUGGCCAGUAAGCACCAGGCAUCGGAGGAGAAACACAGUAAAUGUUACUUGUCGCUCAAGUUUCCCGUUACCAAACCUUUAUCACCUCCAUCAUAUCAAAGGACUAAAGCAUCAGGUGAUGAAAUUCGUCUUUACGGUCAAUUGAGUUCGACCGUAUCACGAAUUGAAACAUCUAACCCGAUGUCGUUCAAAAUUUCCAUUGCGACCACAAGAAUAACUCACCGGCUUGGAUCUACUCAUUGGCCAGACCUCUGUUCAGGAAUGACACGUUUUUCCGCACAGACGGCCUCUAAUCGUUAAAGAAUUCGCUUUGUAAGGUCGAACGCUCAGCAUGUCUCGCUGAGAAGAAAGGAUGACCAAAGCCGGCAACAUGGGUAUGGAUUGUAAAACGGUCAGUGAAGUCGCCCCACCUGAUUACGUAAACGCAAGAUAGUGGAAGCGCCCAAAUCGUCGCAACCAACUGUCACAUAAGAAUGAAGAUGACUUGCAACUUUAGGGUGCUACUAACUAAGCAUUACCGCAAGAGGUUCGAAAAAUCUGCUGCCAGUACUACCACCUAAUCUUUUUCGACUUAAGUGCACAUUAGAGACUUUGGGAUCUGGAGCUCGUCCAGGGAGGAGUUCUGAUGAUGAUCUGAUGAAGAUGGUCUCGACCAGAGAAUGCAGUCCGAGCGAAAGCAUUGAAACUUCAGAUACUGAACUGGGAAGCCCGGCCAUAGAAUUCCGUCAACGCCGGAAUGGAUCCGAUGCCAGUUUCAAGUCGACGUCCAGCACGGAAUCGGAUUCAAUGCCGUUUGCCAACGACAACGCCGGUACCAUCAAACAGCGAAGUGGGCCGGCUCACUCGGCCCUUGCGGCACUGACGUACUCUUCUUCCUCUGUCGCCGUCGUUCUGUCUCCGUCACUCGGCCGACGGGCGCCAUCCCACCAGCAAAACCAACAUAAUCUCGGAACUAGCGACGUGUUGAACGACAUUGGCAACAUGCUAGCUGACCUGACGGACGAAUUGGGCUCUAUGUUCUUCGCCUGCCUUCCUCUUUCACCUUCGUGAGUGAUGAGCCGUGUGCUCUAACCAUUGCGCUAAGGUCGCACAUCUCGAUGUGAAUUAAAUCGAAUCAGUAUAGGCGUACAGACGCCUUGGGGUUCUUGAUCUACUUGACUUUUCGCAGUCUAAUCAUGAUGUAUCUGUGGCCUAAUGGAUAAGGCGUCGGCCUCCAAAGUCGGUGUCUGUGGGUUCAAGUCCCGAAUUUUCCAAUGAAAGUGCUGUAUAGUGGACAGAUGGAGAUAGAAGUUGUUCUUACUGGAUAAUCCCGAAGAAAACUGAUCGUUGCCAUAAAUGGACAGAUCAAUUUAUAUGAGAAAUACUAAACUAUUUUUAAAAAGCUCUGCUAUUAUGGGAUCCCACGGGUUGAAUUUUGUCGAGAUAGAGCAGAGUCUCCUCUGCGGUCCGCUUUCAAAGCGUUUAAUUUUAGAUUGUUAAAUAUGGUUAAAUGACGCAGAAUAUCUAAUAGUCGGCACCGUCACCGGUGUGGUUACGCAAUGCGCGCUGUAUGCAAAUAUGGCCGACAAGGCGACAACCAACCAUUCAUGCCGUUUUGAAGCCGAAACGCAUAAACUUUAUACACGCUCGAGCUGAUUUGAAUUCGCUGAGGUAUAUUCCUACAUUCUUAUUUCUCCCUUUUUCUUCUUCAAUUUAACACUGGUCCAUCUCGAUGGAAAUGAUUUCUUUUACGUUACGUGACGAUUUUAACUAGUGGUAUUUUUUUUUUCUUUCUCCGUCCUUUUUGUUAUUGCCCGCCCAGCCAACUGAUGUACCUAUAUAAUAUUGUAUGGAAUACAUGUACACGUUUAUCGUAUCCCACUUUUGAGCAGAUAAACGGUGUCUGUAAGCCAACUGCACGUUUUUUUUAUUGAAAAACAAAAACAAGCCCUCCUCAAUAAUCGGACUGGUUUGAACCCUUAUAUUUUUCAUCCAAUCUACGCGUUUUGAGUGUUCCUCCCGUCGUCCUUUGAUUUAUGCUAGCUUUUGAUCUUCACACUAAAUAAAAAGAUUUCUUCAUUUGA